This 403-nucleotide ribosomal RNA is filed under the name uncultured bacterium. RNAcentral's name for it is "partial 16S ribosomal RNA". It matches the Rfam family "Bacterial small subunit ribosomal RNA", at positions 28 to 526 of the family's 1533-position model. The record is from RNAcentral.
GACGAACGCUGGCGGCGUGCCUAAUACAUGCAAGUCGAACGCAGUGGGGACGGGUGAGUAACACGUGGGUAACCUCCCAUCAGAGGGGAUAACACUUGGAAACAGGUGCUAAACCAAUAUUGAUGGAUGGACCCGCGGUGCAUUAGCUAGUUGGUGAGGUAACGGCUCACCAAGGCCACGAUGCAUAGCGGGUCUGAUAGGGUGAUCGGCAACACGGGGACGGAGAAACGGCCAAGACUCCGACGGGAGGCAGCAGUAGGGAAGCGUCGGAAAUGGACGAAAGUCUGACCGAGCAACGCCGCGUGAGUGAAGAAGGUUUUCGGAUCGUAAAACACUGUUGUUAGCGAGGCGGUAUCUAACCAGAAAUCCACGGAUAACUACGUGCCAGCAGCCGCGGUAAUAC